CACUGUGUGCGCAAAAGUCGUGUCGAAUCUGCUGUUGCGAAAGGUCAUUCGUGUUUACCGAUACAUGGCAGUGACAGACACCAUGGCAGCCACGAAAGCCGCCAAAGAACAAAAAUACGACAGGCAGCUUAGAUUGUGGGGUGACCAUGGGCAGGAAUCUCUAGAAAAUGCCCACGUUUGUCUGAUCAAUGCUACAGCAACUGGGACAGAGAUACUGAAAAACCUUGUGCUUCCAGGUAUUGGAGCGUUCACCAUAGUUGAUGGAAACACAGUUUCUGGGGAAGAUGUAGGAAACAAUUUUUUCCUAAGCAACAACAGCAUUGGAAAGAAUCGAGCACAAGCAGCCACAGAGCUCCUCCAAGAACUGAACAGUGAUGUAUCGGGUAACUUUGUCGAGGAGAGCCCUGACAUGCUCCUGGAUAACAAUCCAGAAUUCUUCCAUAGAUUUACCAUUGUUAUCGGUGUACAGUUGCCUGAAAGCACGUGUUUAAGGCUAGGCUCAGUUCUGUGGAGUGCGUCGGUACCUUUCCUGCUUUGUAAAACCUACGGCCUCAUUGGCUACAUGAGGCUUGUGGUACAGGAGCACACAGUGAUUGAGUCACACCCUGACAAUGCUUUGGAGGACCUGAGGUUAGACCAGCCCUUUGCCGAAUUCCAAAAGCACAUCCAGUCCUAUGACCUGGAUAGCAUGGACAAAAAGGAUCACAGUCACACACCUUGGAUAGUCAUUGUUGCCAAAUACCUUGAAAAAUGGCUUAGUGAGAAUAACUCUCAGCCCCCCAGAAAUUACAAGGAGAAAGAGGCUUUUAGGCAGAUUAUUCGGGAAGGAAUCCUGAAAAAUGAGAAUGGUGUUCCAGAGGAUGAGGAAAACUUUGAGGAAGCCAUAAAGAAUGUCAACACUGCAUUAAAUCCUACCAAGGUCCCUGGUGUUGUAAAAGACCUAUUCAAUAAUGAUCAGUGUAACAACAUAACAUCACAGACUACAGCCUUCUGGGUGAUGCUGCGCGCUGUGAGGGAGUUUGUGCACAAUGAAGGCCAUGGCAGCUUACCUGUACGAGGGACCAUACCAGAUAUGAUUGCAGACUCACAGAAGUUUAUCAACCUUCAGAAUGUUUACCGGGAAAAGGCCCUGCAGGAUGCAGCUUCUGUUGCCGGAUACGUUGAUAGUCUGGUGCAGUCUGUUGGAAAGGCUCCUGAAAGCAUCACUGACAAAAACAUCAAACUCUUCUGCAAGAAUGCGUCCUUCCUUCGGGUGGUGCACUGCCGAUCUCUGGCAGCAGAGUACAGUGUGGACUCGGUUAACAGAGAUGAAAUAACCUCAUGCAUGGACAAUCCUGAUAGUGAGAUGGUCUUCUACCUCAUGCUUCGAGCUGUCGACCGCUUCUACCAGCACCAUUCCCGCUACCCUGGAGUGUAUAACUACCAAGUCGAGGAGGACAUCUGCAAGCUGAAACUGUGCGUCACCAGCCUGCUGCAGGAGUACAACCUCAACGUGAACAUUAAGGAUGAUUAUGUGCAUGAGUUCUGUCGGUAUGGUGCAGCAGAGCCGCAUACAGUUGCUGCGUUUAUGGGAGGAUCAGCUGCGCAAGAAGCCAUCAAGAUCAUCAGCCACCAGUUUGUGCCCUUCAACAACACUUUCAUCUACAAUGCCAUGUCACAGACCUCUGCAACUUUACAGCUAUGAGAUGAAGAAUAGCGCAGCACCUCCCUAUAUGGACAACCUCCCAAACCAGAGCUCGCGAGCUCGGCCACUAAAACCCCAGCUCCAAAGUGACAAAGGGGGCAGCGGCCGACUUUCACAUGAUGCAAAAGCUCUGGAAUGCGUUCCCACAAUCCUCGUCUGCGACUCUGCUGCCGUGGACAUGGGAACCAACAUGGGGAUGCCUUGGAAAUGCCCAGAAUGCACCAAAGCAAAGUCGACAUAGCGCACUGAGAUCUUCGUGAAAAGAUGGAAAAAACAUAUCAUUUGUUUCCGUAUAUGAAGCAAUAUAAAAUCCCUAAAUGUAAAGAUCGUGCCAAAUCAUGCAAAUUCUACCGAUCUCCGAGAAUUAUGUGCAACUUUGUGACCGCCAGCAACUUCCCCUCACAUUUU
RNA transcript from Nerophis lumbriciformis (worm pipefish), 2092 nucleotides. It is a transcript of the gene named nedd8 activating enzyme E1 subunit 1, with no coding region annotated. Lineage: Eukaryota; Metazoa; Chordata; Actinopteri; Syngnathiformes; Syngnathidae. The record is from RefSeq and is a predicted model, not a curated record.